GUAUUUCAAUAAAGAUCAAAACAAAAAUAUGUUUCAAAAGAUAAAUAAAAUAGUCUUUUUUAAAAAAUUAAAAUUUUGUAGGAAUCAAUAACAAUUUUGUAUUUGCCCAUAAGUCGACUCGUAGAUCCGCCACAAAUCCAUUACCCAUAAGCCGACUCGUAGAUCCAUUACCCCUUUAAAUGGAAAUAUUAAUUAAAUAUUAAUAAGUUGCAUAAAAUGUCAUAUAUACCCAUUUCUUUUUGUUCUUGAAAUUAACGGGAGUGGCUGGCUGAUCGAAUUUGAAUAUGAAUCGAGCACUAAUCGGAAUGACAUUCGAGGGUUUUGUUGUUGGAUAAAGGGGAUCGAAGAGGGUUGUGAAUCAAAUGGAAUUUCAGAAGGGGAUUUAGAUUUAGGGUUAAUAAACAGAUCUAAUUAAUUUAGAAUUUUAAAGUAAAUAGUAGACAGGAAGCAGAAAUCGUUGAGUGUUUUGCUUCGUUUUAACGAAUUCACAUAAAAAAUAAUAUAAAAAAUCUGGACCGUUCACUUUUUUUACAUUUAAUCUAACGGCAUUUAAACAACUUCCUCACCGGUGGACCACCUAAGUCCUUGGUCCACCGUAGAAAGAUCCCCUUUUCAAAUGUCAAAUCUAGGCCCUUUUGCUUUGUCAGAAAAGCUAUCGGUCAAAGCAAUUAGACUUUUUAAACCUCGUAGUCAUCGAAGAGAAAAGUAGGUGAACAAAAAAAGAGUUUGGUGGUGGCAUAAGAAAAAAGUUGUAUGCUUCUUAUUUUCAAAGAGGUUUAUGCAAACUUGAAAAAAAUAACAUAAACCUCUUGCUAGAAGCAGCUUAAAACACAAACAAUCGGUGCUUCAAGCUCACAGUUGAUCUGUGCAAAAGAUGGCCGUCAUGGCCACUAUGUUGUCACAUGCGGAUGGAAGAUUUUUGCACCACUAGAAAAAAAGAAUAUGAAGAUAUAUAUAAUUGAGAAAAGAACAAAAAUAAAAGAAAUGUUUUCAACAUAUAUAUGAAGUUAAUUGACCCAUAGAAACUAAACUAAAAUGUGUCAUGGAAUGAAACUAGAUCUAUAUACAAAACGGAAAAC
This 1079-nucleotide long non-coding RNA is filed under the name Glycine max (soybean). Its description in RNAcentral is "long non-coding RNA (GMAX_LNC001242)". The record is from RNAcentral. Lineage: Eukaryota; Viridiplantae; Streptophyta; Magnoliopsida; Fabales; Fabaceae.